GAACCAACAGGGAUUGCCCCAGUAACGGCGAGUGAAGCGGCAACAGCUCAAAUUUGAAAUCUGGCUCUCAGGGCCCGAGUUGUAAUUUGUAGAGGAUGCUUUUGGCGAGGUGCCUUCCGAGUUCCCUGGAACGGGACGCCACAGAGGGUGAGAGCCCCGUAUGGUCGGACACCGAGCCUCUGUAAAGCUCCUUCGACGAGUCGAGUAGUUUGGGAAUGCUGCUCAAAAUGGGAGGUAUAUGUCUUCUAAAGCUAAAUAUUGGCCAGAGACCGAUAGCGCACAAGUAGAGUGAUCGAAAGAUGAAAAGCACUUUGAAAAGAGGGUUAAAAAGUACGUGAAAUUGUUGAAAGGGAAGCGCCUAUGACCAGACUUGGGCCCGGUGAAUCACCCAGCGUUCUCGCUGGUGCACUUUGCCGGGCACAGGCCAGCAUCAGUUCAGCGCGGGGGAGAAAGGCUUCGGGAAUGUGGCUCCCUCGGGAGUGUUAUAGCCCGCUGCGUAAUGCCCUGCGCCGGACUGAGGUACGCGCAUUGCAAGGAUGCUGGCGUAAUGGUCAUCAGCGACCCGUCUUGAAACACGGACCAAGGAGUCGUCUUCGUAUGCGAGUGUUCGGGUGUCAAACCCCUACGCGUAAUGAAAGUGAACGUAGGUGAGAGCUUCGGCGCAUCACCGACCGAUCCUGAUGUUCUCGGAUGGAUUUGAGUAAGAGCAUACGGGGCCGGACCCGAAAGAAGGUGAACUAUGCCUGUAUAGGGUGAAGCCAGAGGAAACUCUGGUGGAGGCUCGCAGCGGUUCUGACGUGCGAAUCGAUCGUCAAAUAUGGGCAUGGGGGCGAAAGACUAAUCGACC
RNAcentral lists this ribosomal RNA (847 nucleotides) under Beauveria bassiana. RNAcentral describes it as "partial large subunit ribosomal RNA". It matches the Rfam family "Eukaryotic large subunit ribosomal RNA", at positions 56 to 941 of the family's 3401-position model. Lineage: Eukaryota; Fungi; Ascomycota; Sordariomycetes; Hypocreales; Cordycipitaceae. The record is from RNAcentral.